This 433-nucleotide ribosomal RNA is filed under the name uncultured bacterium. RNAcentral describes it as "partial 16S ribosomal RNA". It matches the Rfam family "Bacterial small subunit ribosomal RNA", at positions 29 to 507 of the family's 1533-position model. The record is from RNAcentral.
AACGAACGCUGGCGGCAUGCCUAACACAUGCAGGUCGAACGAGACCUCCGGGUCUAGUGGCGCACGGGUGCGUAAGGCGUGGGAACCUGCCCUUAGGUUCGGAAUAACUCCCCGAAAGGGGUGCUAAUACCGGAUAAUGUCUUCGGACCAAAGAUUUAUCGCCUUUGGAUGGGCCCGCGUUGGAUUAGCUAGUUGGUAGGGUAAAAGCCUACCAAGGCGACGAUCCAUAGCUGGUCUGAGAGGAUGAUCAGCCACACUGGGACUGAGACACGGCCCAGACUCCUACGGGAGGCAGCAGUGGGGAAUAUUGGACAAUGGGCGAAGGCCUGAUCCAGCAAUGCCGCGUAAGUGAUGAAGGCCUUAGGGUUGUAAAGCUCUUUUACCCGGGAUGAUAAUGACGGUACCGGGAGAAUAAGCUCCGGCUAACUCCGUG